CAAAGGCUGGGCAGGUGUAUGGGGGGCAGGGGGGCGUGGAAGCAGCCCCCCCCAUUGCGGGCAGCCCCAUUUCCUCAUGGCUGGCAAGGGAGGCCGGGGGCCCCUCCAUAUUUCCGGGCUCCCCCCAGUCCUUGGCAUUGGGGGGAGUGGAGUUGGGGGUGCACCUGCCCGGGGCUGUUGUUUGCUUUGUACUGCGCGUGGGGAGGGAUUUGGGGACACAGACACCCACUGUGUGUCGGGGGGGUAGGAGCGCACCCCCAUGUUCUGAUCCCCCCAUGCUGGAGAAAGAACCCAGGCGUCCUGGCCUUCACUGUGUGUGGGGGGACAAUAGAGACUCUGGGCCCCCCAGCAUCGGAGGCUGUAGCAAGGGGGCGAGUGGGGUCCAGUUUGCUGGACAGCGGUGGGGUUUGGGGGCUACGGCUGCACUCCAGGGAUUGCUUGUGGGACAGGGACGUCCCCUCAACGUGGGGCUUCUGGGGCAUGGCUGCACCCCAUUAUCUGCUGGGGGGUUCGGCUCCCGCCUCCCCCUACCCAUGGCUUGCAUUGGAGGUGAACGCUGGCACCCACGAGUGGGUGGGAUUUAGGGGGGCGACUGCACCUCAUUAUAGUGGGGGUCUGGAUUCUACAGAGCUGUGCACUGGGGGAAAUGGGGUGUGUGAAAACAGCCCCCCAGGUGCUGGGAGAGGGGCGGCAGGACCCCAAAACACUUCUCUGUAGCCUGCUCACCCCAGGGCAGGGUGCACGCAUGGGGUACACACGCGCGUCUCCCCGGCGCACAGUGGGCGCACGUGGAUGUGGGGGGGCAGGGACACCCCCGAGUUAGUCAUGGGGUGGCUGGGAGUCGAGUGUUCCCCCCUCCAGCACGGCUCCUCGGGGGUUAGGAAAUGGGGGUAUCUUGUGUGCUCCACAUGUCUGCAGGGCCAAGGCUGCUGGACGAAGGGGGGAUUUGGGGUUUCACCGCUAGUGACCCAACUUGGACCCCAUACUGGGGGGGCUAUUGAGGGGGACAUGGAGAUGUUAGGAGCUGGAUAAAG
This 1034-nucleotide long non-coding RNA is filed under the name Gopherus agassizii (Agassiz's desert tortoise). RNAcentral describes it as "lncRNA (ENSGAGG00000005161.1)". Lineage: Eukaryota; Metazoa; Chordata; Testudines; Testudinidae. The record is from RNAcentral.